RNAcentral lists this ribosomal RNA (605 nucleotides) under Nodularia sp. LEGE 04288. RNAcentral's name for it is "bacterial SSU rRNA". It matches the Rfam family "Bacterial small subunit ribosomal RNA", at positions 111 to 746 of the family's 1533-position model. Lineage: Bacteria; Bacillati; Cyanobacteriota; Cyanophyceae; Nostocales; Nodulariaceae. The record is from RNAcentral.
UAACGCGUGAGAAUCUGGCUUCAGGUCGGGGACAACCACUGGAAACGGUGGCUAAUACCGGAUAUGCCGAGAGGUGAAAGGCUUGCUGCCUGAAGAUGAGCUCGCGUCUGAUUAGCUAGUAGGUGUGGUAAAGGCGCACCUAGGCGACGAUCAGUAGCUGGUCUGAGAGGAUGAUCAGCCACACUGGGACUGAGACACGGCCCAGACUCCUACGGGAGGCAGCAGUGGGGAAUUUUCCGCAAUGGGCGAAAGCCUGACGGAGCAAUACCGCGUGAGGGAGGAAGGCUCUUGGGUUGUAAACCUCUUUUCUCAGGGAAGAAAAAAAUGACGGUACCUGAGGAAUAAGCAUCGGCUAACUCCGUGCCAGCAGCCGCGGUAAUACGGAGGAUGCAAGCGUUAUCCGGAAUGAUUGGGCGUAAAGGGUCCGCAGGUGGCUAUGUAAGUCUGCUGUUAAAGAACUUAGCUUAACUAGGUAAAAUGCAGUGGAAACUACAAGGUCUAGAGUGCGUUCGGGGUAGAGGGAAUUCCUGGUGUAGCGGUGAAAUGCGUAGAUAUCAGGAAGAACACCAGUGGCGAAGGCGCUCUACUAGGCCGCAAACUGACAC